Molecule: ribosomal RNA, 445 nt
Filed under: uncultured bacterium
Lineage: Bacteria
Description: SSU rRNA
Rfam family: Bacterial small subunit ribosomal RNA
Source: RNAcentral
AGAACGAACGCUGGCGGCAGGCCUAACACAUGCAAGUCGAGCGCCCAGCAAUGGGAGCGGCGGACGGGUGCGUAACGCGUGGGAAUAUGCCUUUCGGUACGGAACAACUCAGGGAAACUUGAGCUAAUACCGUAUACGCCCUUAGGGGGAAAGAUUUAUCGCCGAAAGAUUAGCCCGCGUAGGAUUAGCUUGUUGGUGAGGUAAUGGCUCACCAAGGCGACGAUCCUUAGCUGGUUUGAGAGAACGACCAGCCACACUGGGACUGAGACACGGCCCCAGACUCCUACGGGAGGCAGCAGUGGGGAAUCUUGGACAAUGGGGGAAACCCUGAUCCAGCCAUGCCGCGUGAGUGAUGAAGGCCUUCGGGUUGUAAAACUCUUUCGACGGGGACGAUAAUGACGGUACCCGUAGAAGAAGCUCCGGCUAACUUCGUGCCAGCAGCCGC